This 391-nucleotide unclassified non-coding RNA is filed under the name soil metagenome. RNAcentral's name for it is "partial contains 5.8S ribosomal RNA, internal transcribed spacer 2, and large subunit ribosomal RNA". The stretch from base 1 to 122 matches the Rfam family "5.8S ribosomal RNA", at positions 35 to 154 of the family's 154-position model. The record is from RNAcentral.
GAUGAAGAACGUAGUGAAAUGCGAUACUUGGUGUGAAUUGCAGAAUCCCGUGAACCAUCGAGUCUUUGAACGCAAGUUGCGCCCGAAGCCAUUAGGCCGAGGGCACGCCUGCCUGGGCGUCACACGUCGUUGCCCCCCCAUCUACUCCUUCGGGAUUGCGGGGGGCGGAUGAUGGCCUCCCGUGCGCCUCGCCGCGCGGUUGGCAUAAAUGCCAAGUCCUCGGCGACGCACGCCACGACAAUCGGUGGUUGCGAAACCUCGGUUGCCCGUCGUGUGCGGUCGUCGCGCAUCGAGGGCUCGAAAAAAUUGCCGGGUUCCGGCUCGGCUUUCAACGCGACCCCAGGUCAGGCGGGGUUACCCGCUGAGUUUAAGCAUAUCAAUAAGCGGAGGA